RNAcentral lists this unclassified non-coding RNA (589 nucleotides) under Hevea brasiliensis (rubber tree). Lineage: Eukaryota; Viridiplantae; Streptophyta; Magnoliopsida; Malpighiales; Euphorbiaceae. The record is from RNAcentral.
UCUGUUCACCUUUGUCAUAAGCUGAUACAGGAGUCAUCUCAUCCAGAUUAUGAUCUUCAAUAUCGGAACCCAUGUGGUCGCUUGGAUCACAUUCACCACAAGAUGAAUUAACUGUAAUCACACUUUCAGAAGCUGAAGCGUAAGCCAAUAGUUUCGGUUCACCUUUACUUCUGCUUCCCUCUGACUUUCCCUUCAAUUUACAGACAAGGAAAUUUCCCUACACAUGUUGGAGCACAAAUCAAUAAAUUCAAUGUAAUCACCAAAUUAAAAGCAAAUUUCAAAAAGCUAUAACCAAUCAAACCUCACAAAACGAGAAUUUCACUAAAUCUAGCCCAAAUUCUUCAAUCACAUUCGUAGUCAUACCAUAUAACUUCAGAAUAAGCAAGGGUAUUACCAUAUACUUUUCAUUCAUGAUAAACGCAUUGGUGAGGUCAAAAUCCGGAACACUUUAACAAAAAACUACAAAUUAGCAAUCAUAUGAUUUCCCAAACGCAUCCAACAAGCAAAAAACAGACUAGUUGCUUGGAGUACAAAUUCUUGAGUUAUAGCAUACAAUCUGCGAAAGUUUAGCAUUUACCUGUGGAAUGAG